RNAcentral lists this long non-coding RNA (537 nucleotides) under Felis catus (domestic cat). RNAcentral describes it as "lncRNA (ENSFCAG00000049238.1)". The record is from RNAcentral. Lineage: Eukaryota; Metazoa; Chordata; Mammalia; Carnivora; Felidae.
GUGCCCAUUAUAGACCAGGCUCUGUGCUAGGGAUACAAUAGCAGGCAAAACAUCUAUUGUCUUGCUUUCAUGGAGUUUACAGAGUCAUAGAUGGAGUAUAUAUUAAACAAAUAACCUUAUAGUACAUAUAUUAUCUACUAACUAUCAGUGCUAUGAAGGGAAUGUAUGGGUUAUCAUGCAAAAGGGUAACAGGGGUACCUGACCUACUUUGUUGGGGAAGUCCUCUCUGAGACCUAAGGGAUGAGGAGUUAGUCAGAGGACUGGAAGGAAAGGCACUGCAAGCGGAGGGGAAAAGUCUUGCAAAGUUUCUUUUUCUAGAGAGUGUAGGGUGUUUGAAACUGGAAAGAAAAGCAGAAGUCAGACUGUGCAGGGUAUCAACAGUUUUUCUAAGGAGUUUGGAUUCUAUUCUAAGAAGAUACUGGUGGACACAAUGGUGAGCAAAAGAAAACGCAACCAAUCCCUGUUGUCAGUCAAGGAGAGGAGACAGAUGUUAAUUAACUAAACCCAAGAAUCAAAUAAGCUGAGCUAUUGUAAGCA